CUACGGGAGGCAGCAGUAGGGAAUCUUCCGCAAUGGACGAAAGUCUGACGGAGCAACGCCGCGUGAGUGAUGAAGGUUUUCGGAUCGUAAAGCUCUGUUGUUAGGGAAGAACAAGUGCGAGAGUAACUGCUCGCACCUUGACGGUACCUAACCAGAAAGCCACGGCUAACUACGUGCCAGCAGCCGCGGUAAUACGUAGGUGGCAAGCGUUGUCCGGAAUUAUUGGGCGUAAAGGGCUCGCAGGCGGUUUCUUAAGUCUGGUGUGAAAGCCCCCGGCUCAACCGGGGAGGGUCAUUGGAAACUGGGAAACUUGAGUGCAGAAGAGGAGAGUGGAAUUCCACGUGUAGCGGUGAAAUGCGUAGAGAUGUGGAGGAACACCAGUGGCGAAGGCGACUCUCUGGUCUGUAACUGACGCUGAGGAGCGAAAGCGUGGGGAGCGAACAGGAUUAAAUACCCUGGUAGUCCACGCCGUAAACGAUGAGUGCUAAGUGUUAGGGGGUUUCCGCCCCUUAGUGCUGCAGCUAACGCAUUAAGCANUCCGCCUGGGGAGUACGGUCGCAAGACUGAAACUCAAAGGAAUUGACG
This 585-nucleotide ribosomal RNA is filed under the name uncultured bacterium. RNAcentral describes it as "bacterial SSU rRNA". It matches the Rfam family "Bacterial small subunit ribosomal RNA", at positions 339 to 915 of the family's 1533-position model. The record is from RNAcentral.